UAGCAUGACUUGACCGGGAUUGGACA
This 26-nucleotide non-coding RNA is filed under the name Homo sapiens (human). Lineage: Eukaryota; Metazoa; Chordata; Mammalia; Primates; Hominidae. The record is from RNAcentral.